This 21-nucleotide non-coding RNA is filed under the name Rattus norvegicus (Norway rat). The record is from RNAcentral. Lineage: Eukaryota; Metazoa; Chordata; Mammalia; Rodentia; Muridae.
GAACUGCUGAAAUGUGCCAAG